UUCAAGUGCUGCCAUGAAUUUUUUUUUCAACUUUGAUCGUCCGUCUUAGUUGAAAUUUUUUUAUGAUUAAUAUUUUUAUUGUUAUUAGAUGAUAAAACAUGAAUAAUACUUUAUGCGUGACUUAUGUUUUUUAAUAUUUUCAAUUUUUUAAAUAAGAUGGACAAUUAAAGUUAUUCAUGGCCGUGCUUAAA
Oryza meridionalis is the source of this 191-nucleotide non-coding RNA. Lineage: Eukaryota; Viridiplantae; Streptophyta; Magnoliopsida; Poales; Poaceae. The record is from Rfam.